This 1345-nucleotide ribosomal RNA is filed under the name uncultured bacterium. RNAcentral's name for it is "bacterial SSU rRNA". It matches the Rfam family "Bacterial small subunit ribosomal RNA", at positions 28 to 1381 of the family's 1533-position model. The record is from RNAcentral.
GACGAACUUUGGCGGCGUGCUUAACACAUGCAAGUCGAACGGAAAGGCCCUGCUUUUGUGGGGUGCUCGAGUGGCGAACGGGUGAGUAACACGUGAGUAACCUGCCCUUGACUUUGGGAUAACUUCAGGAAACUGGGGCUAAUACCGGAUAGGAGCUCCUGCUGCAUGGUGGGGGUUGGAAAGUUUCGGCGGUUGGGGAUGGACUCGCGGCUUAUCAGCUUGUUGGUGGGGUAGUGGCUUACCAAGGCUUUGACGGGUAGCCGGCCUGAGAGGGUGACCGGCCACAUUGGGACUGAGAUACGGCCCAGACUCCUACGGGAGGCAGCAGUGGGGAAUAUUGCACAAUGGGCGGAAGCCUGAUGCAGCAACGCCGCGUGCGGGAUGACGGCCUUCGGGUUGUAAACCGCUUUCGCCUGUGACGAAGCGUGAGUGACGGUAAUGGGUAAAGAAGCACCGGCUAACUACGUGCCAGCAGCCGCGGUGAUACGUAAGGUGCGAGCGUUGUCCGGAUUUAUUGGGCGUAAGGGCUCGUAGGUGGUUGAUCGCGUCGGAAGUGUGAUCUUGGGGCUUAACCCUGAGCGUGCUUUCGAUACGGGUUGACUUGAGGAAGGUAGGGGAGAAUGGAAUUCCUGGUGGAGCGGUGGAAUGCGCAGAUAUCAGGAGGAACACCAGUGGCGAAGGCGGUUCUCUGGGCCUUUCCUGACGCUGAGGAGCGAAAGCGUGGGGAGCGAACAGGCUUAGAUACCCUGGUAGUCCACGCUGUAAACGGUGGGUACUAGGUGUGGGGUCCAUUCCACGGGUUCCGUGCCGUAGCUAACGCUUUAAGUACCCCGCCUGGGGAGUACGGCCGCAAGGCUAAAACUCAAAGGAAUUGACGGGGCCCCGCACAAGCGGCGGAGCAUGCGGAUUAAUUCGAUGCAACGCGUAGAACCUUACCUGGGUUUGACAUGGAUCGGGAGUGCUCAGAGAUGGGUGUGCCUCUUUUGGGGUCGGUUCACAGGUGGUGCAUGCCUGUCGUCAGCUCGUGUCGUGAGAUGUUGGGUUAAGUCCCGCAACGAGCGCAACCCUUGUUCACUGUUGCCAGCACGUUAUGGUGGGGACUCAGUGGAGACCGCCGGGGUCAACUCGGAGGAAGGUGGGGAUGACGUCAAGUCAUCAUGCCCCUUAUGUCCAGGGCUUCACGCAUGCUACAAUGGCUGGUACAGAGAGUGGCGAGCCUGUGAGGGUGAGCGAAUCUCGGAAAGCCGGUCUCAGUUCGGAUUGGGGUCUGCAACUCGACCUCAUGAAGUCGGAGUCGCUAGUAAUCGCAGAUCAGCAACGCUGCGGUGAAUACGUUCCCGGGGCU